RNAcentral lists this ribosomal RNA (527 nucleotides) under uncultured Candidatus Saccharibacteria bacterium. RNAcentral describes it as "bacterial SSU rRNA". It matches the Rfam family "Bacterial small subunit ribosomal RNA", at positions 355 to 897 of the family's 1533-position model. The record is from RNAcentral. Lineage: Bacteria; Candidatus Saccharimonadota.
UUAGGAAUAUUCCACAAUGGGGGCAACCCUGAUGGAGCAACGCCGCGUGGAGGAUGAAGGCCCUCGGGUCGUAAACUUCUUUUCUAUGCGAAGAAUAUGACGGUAACAUAGGAAUAAGGGUCUGCUAACUACGUGCCAGCAGCCGCGGUCAUACGUAGGACCCAAGCGUUAUCCGGAUUGACUGGGCGUAAAGAGUUGCGUAGGUGGCUUGUUAAGCGAGCAGUGAAAUCUUGUGGCUCAACCAUAAGACUAUUGUUCGAACUGGCAAGCUCGAGAAUGGAAGAGGUAUCUGGAAUUCCCAGUGUAGGAGUGAAAUCCGUAGAUAUUGGGAGGAACACCAAUGGCGUAGGCAGGAUACUGGUCCAUUUCUGACACUGAGGCACGAAAGCGUGGGGAGCGAACGGGAUUAGAUACCCCGGUAGUCCACGCCGUAAACUAUGGAUGCUAGCUGUUAGCCGUAUCGACCCGGUUAGUAGCGAAGCUAACGCGUUAAGCAUCCCGCCUGGGGAGUACGAACGCAAGUUUAA